Molecule: ribosomal RNA, 301 nt
Filed under: uncultured bacterium
Lineage: Bacteria
Description: partial 16S ribosomal RNA
Rfam family: Bacterial small subunit ribosomal RNA
Source: RNAcentral
CAGUAGCCGCGGUAAUACGAAGGGGGCUAGCGUUGCUCGGAAUCACUGGGCGUAAAGGGUGCGUAGGCGGUUUGGCAAGUCUUGUGUGAAAUCUUCGGGCUCAACCCGAAGCCUGCACGAGAAACUGCCGGGCUUGAGUAUUGGAGAGGUGAGUGGAAUUUCCGGUGUAGCGGUGAAAUGCGUAGAUAUCGGAAGGAACACCUGUGGCGAAAGCGGCUCACUGGACAAUUACUGACGCUGAGGCACGAAAGCUAGGGGAGCAAACAGGAUUAGAUACCCGAGUAGUCCCUGUCUCUUAUAC